Molecule: unclassified non-coding RNA, 2033 nt
Filed under: Leishmania donovani
Lineage: Eukaryota; Euglenozoa; Kinetoplastea; Trypanosomatida; Trypanosomatidae
Description: gene:LdHU3.36.0570(CDS-product:hypothetical_prote in_conserved)
Source: RNAcentral
ACCUACACACACGCACGCACAUCUCCUCAACUAGGAAGUUUCCCGUACACCCUGGAGAGAGCCAUCAGCCUUUUCCCUCUGCGCUUACUAUUCCUUUUCUCUUGCUCUCGCUUCCUUAUCCGUCCGCCUUUUCUGUGUGGCUGCGGGUCUUUGCCGUCUAUCGCCUUUAGUGUCGUCUUUCCGCCUGCACUUCGCUUUUUUUUUUGUUUGUUUCGUUCUCGGUCGCGGUGCGCAUACGCAUUUCCGUACUUCGUCUUCUGCACGGCAAGUGAGAGAGGUGCGCUUCAACGAAAUGACUACUGUGCUGAACCGCAGGUUCGAAGUGCUGUGCCACAGCGGCACGUGCCCGUCCUACCUGAUCGACGUCUUGUCUCUUCUCGUGGCACACGCCAACGAUACAGAGCUGUUCAAGACAGAGCUGCGUAAAGGUGAUGGAGGCGAGUUCGGCGCUGCCGCUACCGGUACAGGCAGUGUCCAUGCGACAUCUUCCACUGGCCCUUCCAGCCGCACUGACCGGGCGGUCGGUGAGACGCGCGAGCGGCAGGCGGCAGACCGGCGUACCCAACUCAUGUACAAACAAGUGGAGGACCCCGAGGCCCUCGACGACGCGCUGCGCGCGUCGCACGAGACGGUUCUCAUCGCCGCUGAGCGCAGUCUGCAGACGUACACGGAGGAUUUGAAGCACAUAAACGACAUUGCCAUCGCCACCUCCGCCAAGCAGCUGCGGGCGAUGCGGGUGGAGACGCAGCAGCAGAUGGAGGCGUUUCGCGACCGCGUCUGCGGCAGUGUCGUGGCGCAAACGAAGGAGGAAUUGGAGGUAAUACGCAGCGAACUGGCCGCAUCGGUUAGAGCUGAUGUGAGCGACAUGGUGCGGCAGCUGCAUCAGGUGAGCUUUAGCACCCAGCAGCAGCUUCAACAGUUGACGUCCUCCUACACUGACUUUGUGGCUCAGGCUCACGACGCGCUUGCCGUGGCCCCACUCGCGGAUGCCUACGAGGCCGUAAAGACGGUAGAGUACAUGCAGGAGCAGCUGAAGUGCAUAGAGGCGGCGGCGGCCACCAGGUCAGACAUGGAGACGCUGGAGGAGCGGCUGAAGGACUUGGAGAGCAUCAUGGCGACUCUGGGGUCGGCUGCAAGGACACCUGAUGCCGGCGCAGCCGCAGCGCCUCGCGAGGGCUUCUCCAUGAAUGUGCCCCCUCCUCUGCAGUUGUCGCAGCAAGAACUAGUGCCGUCCAAUCGGAGCGCCUCUCACCGCAGCCAAACGCCAAAGUCCACGUCACCACUGCCGUCGCACCUGCACGUGCCGCGAUCAGCCACUGCGAAGAGUCGGCCGUCAUCGUCAUCACCGGCGUUGCCGAGACCGCCAUCGCAGAGGACACUCGCGGAGCGUCUCGGCGUCACGGUGGAGGCUGUCGAGGACGGAGUGGUGCUCGCUGAAGUAUUGCCCGGAUCGGUGGCCGCUGCGCAUCGGCUGGGCGUUGGCCACAUCAUCUCUCACGUGGGCCGCACGGUUGUGAAGACCCCUGCUGCAUUUGAGGAAGCCCUCCGUGCGAUUGAGGGGCAGGCCGUGAAGAUCACCGCCUACGACCCCUUCAACGGUCGCGUUCGCGUACUCACAGCUCAGCCUUUUUGACGGUUGGCGUGGGCGUGGGUGCGGCGCUCACUGAGUCGCACAGCCACUAGAAUGUGCGCGUGUGUGACUGUCUACGUGGAGGAAGGGGCACGGUGUUUGCGUGUGUGCGUGCAUUCAUCCUCCUCGGUUGCCUGGAGCUAUUGUGUCCGCUUGAGCGAGUCUGGACAUUCGAUUUUUUUUUUGUCCCGCCUGGGCAUGACAGGGAAGGCGAGCAGACGCCGUGAUGCGCUCUUCUUAACGAAGGCGACAUGCAGACUUGAGGCGGCAGCUUUCUUUGCUGGCAGCGCUCCUCGAGCUGAAUCCAAUCUCAGCGCAGAUCACCGUGCGGAGUGCCCCGUGAGCGGUGGUGAUUACUCUACAGCUCCUUGUCAUGGGAGACAUGCUCACCGUUGUGGGUAAG